UGCCCCGUGUGAGGAUUGAACUCACGACCUUUAGAUUAUGAUAUUGACGCGCUACCUACAGCGCUAACGAGAC
Molecule: non-coding RNA, 73 nt
Organism: Cordylochernes scorpioides
Lineage: Eukaryota; Metazoa; Arthropoda; Arachnida; Pseudoscorpiones; Chernetidae
Source: the annotation of a GenBank genome assembly